This 657-nucleotide ribosomal RNA is filed under the name uncultured archaeon. RNAcentral describes it as "bacterial SSU rRNA". It matches the Rfam family "Archaeal small subunit ribosomal RNA", at positions 261 to 920 of the family's 1478-position model. The record is from RNAcentral.
UAACAGGUACGGGCUCUGAGAGGAGGGGCCCGGAGAUGGGUACUGAGACACGGACCCAGGCCCUAUGGGGCGCAGCAGGCGAGAAACCUUUGCAAUGUGCGAAAGCACGACAAGGUUAAUCCGAGUGUCUCCUGCUAAAGGAGUCUUUUGUCAGUUGUAGAAUCACUGGUGAAUAAGGGGUGGGCAAGUUCUGGUGUCAGCCGCCGCGGUAAAACCAGCACCUCGAGUGGUCAGGAGGUUUAUUGGGCCUAAAGCAUCCGUAGCCGGUUGCAUAAGUUUUCGGUUAAAUCUAUGCGUUUAACGUAUAGGCCGCCGAAAAUACUGUGCAGCUAGGGAGUGGGAGAGGUACACGGUACUCGAUAGGAAGGGGUAAAAUCCUUUGAUCUAUUGAAGACCACCUGUGGCGAAGGCGGUGUACCAGAACACGUUCGACGGUGAGGGAUGAAAGCUGGGGGAGCAAACCGGAUUAGAUACCCGGGUAGUCCCAGCUGUAAACGAUGCAGACUCGGUGAUGCAUUGGCUUGUGGCCAAUGCAGUGCCGCAGGGAAGCCGUUAAGUCUGCCGCCUGGGGAGUACGUACGCAAGUAUGAAACUUAAAGGAAUUGGCGGGGGAGCACCACAAGGGUGAAGCCUGCGGUUCAAUUGGAGUCAACGCCG